This 71-nucleotide transfer RNA is filed under the name Cyphomyrmex costatus. It matches the Rfam family "tRNA". From Rfam's summary of the family: Transfer RNA (tRNA) molecules are approximately 80 nucleotides in length. Lineage: Eukaryota; Metazoa; Arthropoda; Insecta; Hymenoptera; Formicidae. The record is from Rfam by way of RNAcentral.
GGGGAUUGGCGCAGUGGUAGCGCGCUUCGUUCACACCGAAGAGGUCACUGGUUCGAACCCAGUAUCGCCCA